GACGAACGCUGGCGGCGUGCUUAACACAUGCAAGUCGAACGCUGAAGCUCAGCUUUUGUUGGGUGGAUGAGUGGCGAACGGGUGAGUAACACGUGAGUAACCUGCCCCCUUCUUUGGGAUAACGCCCGGAAACGGGUGCUAAUACUGGAUAUUCACUGGUCUUCGCAUGGGGGUUGGUGGAAAGGGUUUUUCUGGUGGGGGAUGGGCUCGCGGCCUAUCAGCUUGUUGGUGGGGUGAUGGCCUACCAAGGCUUUGACGGGUAGCCGGCCUGAGAGGGUGACCGGUCACAUUGGGACUGAGACACGGCCCAGACUCCUACGGGAGGCAGCAGUGGGGAAUAUUGCACAAUGGGCGCAAGCCUGAUGCAGCGACGCCGCGUGAGGGAUGGAGGCCUUCGGGUUGUGAACCUCUUUCGCUCAUGGUCAAGCCGCAACAAUGGUUGUGGUGAGGGUAGUGGGUAAAGAAGCGCCGGCUAACUACGUG
Molecule: ribosomal RNA, 483 nt
Filed under: uncultured bacterium
Lineage: Bacteria
Description: partial 16S ribosomal RNA
Rfam family: Bacterial small subunit ribosomal RNA
Source: RNAcentral